This 300-nucleotide unclassified non-coding RNA is filed under the name Gigaspora margarita. RNAcentral describes it as "partial contains 5.8S ribosomal RNA, internal transcribed spacer 2, and large subunit ribosomal RNA". The stretch from base 1 to 71 matches the Rfam family "5.8S ribosomal RNA", at positions 84 to 154 of the family's 154-position model. The record is from RNAcentral. Lineage: Eukaryota; Fungi; Glomeromycota; Glomeromycetes; Diversisporales; Gigasporaceae.
GUGAAUCAUCAAAUUUUUGAACGCAAAUUGCACUUCUUGGUAUUCCGAGGAGUACACAUGCUUGAGGGUCAGUUAAAAAAAUCGUGCAUCACUGAUGUUGCGGAUCUGGUAUUCCGAUUUUAUAAAUUGGUUAUCUAAAAUUAAUAUGGAUAUGUAAUGUGAAGCGUACUAAUUAUAUAGUCGCUAAUCAUUUAUAUUUAUUACAUUACAACUAUACGAAAGUAUUUAGUUGGUGUAUAAAUUAUGAAAAUGACCUCAAGUCAUGUGAGAGUACCCGCUGAACUUAAGCAUAUCAAUAAG